Molecule: unclassified non-coding RNA, 354 nt
Filed under: soil metagenome
Description: partial contains 5.8S ribosomal RNA, internal transcribed spacer 2, and large subunit ribosomal RNA
Rfam family: 5.8S ribosomal RNA (bases 1-120)
Source: RNAcentral
GAUGAAGAACGUAGCGAAAUGCGAUAAGUAAUGUGAAUUGCAGAAUUCAGUGAAUCAUCGAAUCUUUGAACGCACAUUGCGCCCGCUGGUAUUCCGGCGGGCAUGCCUGUUCGAGCGUCAUUUCAACCCUCAAGCUCUCCGGAGUUUGGUGUUGGGGCGCCUGGGGCUUUUCGACCUCAGGGCCCUCAAGUCCAUCGGCGGGACCGCCAGGACACUGAGCGCAGUAGUAUUAUUUCGCUCGGUAGGAUCUUCCACGGCGGGUCGAUCUGGCCGCUAAACCCCCCAAUUCUCACCAAAGGUUGACCUCGGAUCAGGUAGGAAUACCCGCUGAACUUAAGCAUAUCAAUAAGCGGA